AAAAAUAUUAAAAAGUCAGACCAAUUUGUCAUCAAUCAGUCAGAUAAAAAUUAUGAAUUUUUGAGUCUACAAUAUCCAUCGGAUACUUAUAGAGACUGCUCUUUAAUCCUUCGAAUAUCUCCUUGCCGCCGUUCGUCUAUGCUGCCGCCGUUCAACACAAAACAAAAGUUUUCAAAACAAGAUAGAAAGGUUGAAGAUGUCUCAUAGAAGAUCAGGGAAAAGUGGGAGCACUGAUUCAGAGUUUGAAGAGCUAAAGUAUAAAUACCACGGAGAUUUAAGAGAUGAUGAUCUAAUGGUUUUCCUUGGAUGGGGAUAGUAGCCAACAUUCCUGUUGAAUAUCAGGGAGGGAACUGUGUAGGUAAAGGUGGAACAUAUCUAAAAAAAUUGUGGAUUGAGAAAGGGUUAAUCCAAUGAAGGUUCAUCGGUUAUGGAACUACAAGGGUCACAUCGGAUAUGCCAUAGUUGAAUUUAAAGGGGAUUGGUCGGGAUUCGCGAAUGCUAUAGAAUUCGAAAAAGCAUUUGAAUUGGAUAAUCAUGGGAAGAGAGAUUGGAAUUCAGGAAGAGGACGAGAUAGGAAAAUGUAUGCUUGGAUUGCACGUGAUGAAGAUUACAACGCUGGGUCAUUAAUUGGUACUCAUCUCCGUAAAUAUGGAGAUCUUAAGCCAGUUUAUGAAAUACAAGAAGAGAGCAAUAGGAAACAUUCAGUGCUAUUACACACCUUGACCAACGAGCUAGAUAUGAAGAAGAAUAUAAGCAGAGUAGAGCAGAAGGAAUAUCAAAAGGAGGAGAUGGUCCAAAACUACAAUGACGAAGAGAAGGGCAAUUUAGGAGCAGAAAAAUGCUUAUGAGAAAAUGUUGCAAAUGGCUGAUGAUCAUAAGAGAGUAAAGGAAUCACAUUAUAAAAGAAUAAUUGAAUUGGCAGCGAACCUUGAUCAGAAGCAAUCACUACAGUUGCAGAUUGAGCGCUUGAGAGGUUCAAUGGAAGUGAUGCGACUCGUGAAUCAGGAAGGAGACCUCGAAGCUAAGAAGAAUUGCAGUCAAUUCAAAGAGAAAUCAAGAAGAGUGAAGAACUUGAUAGGUUGGAAACACUGAAUCAAACUCUAAUUAUAAAGGAAAGAAGUGCAAAUGAUGAGGUGGAGGAAGCCCGUAAAGAAGCAAUCCAUGUUUAAGGGAGAGAGGUGCUUUUAUCUGUAUCGAGAGAAUGGGGUUGAAAGAAGGAGUUGCACACAUAAUGAAGUUGUGGAAUGCGCGUGAGAAGUUUGAGAGUUGAUUGUCAUCAACAUGAUUAAUCCUAGUACGCAAGCUGAACUAUUACUAGGAGUUCUGAUUCUGCAAAAACUUCAUUAGUUUUACCUUCAUUUUGCUCUAAAUUUCAAACCAGACAGUUUGUUCUUUAUAUGGUGCUUUCUUUUGUCAUUAGAUAUAUUGCAAUAGAGUUUGUUCUUCAUCUGCUG
Molecule: RNA transcript, 1454 nt
Organism: Solanum lycopersicum (tomato)
Lineage: Eukaryota; Viridiplantae; Streptophyta; Magnoliopsida; Solanales; Solanaceae
Gene name: protein INVOLVED IN DE NOVO 2-like
Source: RefSeq, a predicted model, not a curated record